RNAcentral lists this transfer RNA (64 nucleotides) under Dipodomys ordii (Ord's kangaroo rat). It matches the Rfam family "tRNA". Rfam says of the family: Transfer RNA (tRNA) molecules are approximately 80 nucleotides in length. The record is from Rfam by way of RNAcentral. Lineage: Eukaryota; Metazoa; Chordata; Mammalia; Rodentia; Heteromyidae.
GGUGGCUUAGUGGUAGAGUGCUUGCCUUGCAUGCAUGAGGCCUUGGGUUCGAAUCCUCACACCG